This 850-nucleotide long non-coding RNA is filed under the name Equus asinus (donkey). Its description in RNAcentral is "lncRNA (ENSEASG00005029153.1)". Lineage: Eukaryota; Metazoa; Chordata; Mammalia; Perissodactyla; Equidae. The record is from RNAcentral.
AAUGAAGAGGAGGGCGAACUUAACGCUGCACGCACCAACCCCUUCCCGGGGUCGCCAAAGAAGCCAGACUGGAGACGGCAGAGAGUAUGGGUUUGCAUGAACUGUGGCUGCUCCAUCAAGCAGGCUGAUUACUGAGGACACAUCAUCACAAACUUCGCCCGGGUGACUCAUCACCCAGAUCCCACAGAGAGAUUUAUUUAGUAUAUCUGAAGUAGAGGUUGGGAAGCUGAAUGUUGCACAAGUUCCACAAAUGAUUCUGAUGGCAGCGAGCUGUUUGAACCACUGCUGUAGACAAUAAAGAGAGGCAAGACACAGAGGGAAGACCCAGAGAUACACAGAGAGGAAACAGCACAUGAAGGCAGAGGCAGAAAUUGGAAUGAUGUGGCUACAAGUCAAGGAAUGUCAAGAUUUGCGGGCACUCACCAGAAAGUAGGAAGAGGCAAGAAAGGAUUCUUCUCUAGAGCCUUCACAGGGAGAAUGGCCCUGGCCACACCUUGAUUUUGAACUUCUGACCUCCAGAACUGUGAGAGAGUAAAUUUCUGUUAUUUUGAGCCACCCAAUUUGUGGUAAUUUAUUAUGGCAGUCUUAGGAAAGAAUAUACCGUUUAAAUUUGGGCUCUAGCAGCUUCUAUCCAGAAGACAAAGCAAAUCUUAGCUUUGUCUCUCCAGAUGAGCCUAUCUCUCCAGAUUUCAGGCUGGUAGUUUACUCUGCAAACUCAGUUCUCUGAUAAGUCCAAGAAAAGUCAUUGAUUUUUGUUUAUGCAUACGUCCAUUGUUUUUUGCAAGGUUGGGAAUGAUGAUUUCUGAACUCUUUAUAUGUCAGAGCUGAAACUGAAGCUUUCUCUAAUAGG